AAAAAGUAUCAUAUAGUGUUUCAAUGGUCAACACAGUGCUUUCCAACAAAGGAUUAUGAGUUUGAAUUAGACUUUUUGUUACAAUAUUUUUGCUCUUGCCUACUCAAUAUGGGUUUACUAACAAAUUGUUGUUUAUUUUACAUUAAUAAGUCCGAUACAGGUUUGCACUCCAGUUGACAAACAUUUAUCAGCCAAAAACAUUGUUACAUGGAAACUUCUGAUUUAAAAAGGUUUACAGAAUAUUGAUACUAAUUAUAUUGCACAUAGCAUAUAGUAAUGUAUUUAUAGAUACA
This is a non-coding RNA of Cinara cedri, 293 nucleotides long. NCBI's taxonomy places the organism in Eukaryota, Metazoa, Arthropoda, Insecta, Hemiptera, Aphididae. The record is from the annotation of a GenBank genome assembly.